This 498-nucleotide ribosomal RNA is filed under the name uncultured bacterium. RNAcentral's name for it is "partial 16S ribosomal RNA". It matches the Rfam family "Bacterial small subunit ribosomal RNA", at positions 30 to 523 of the family's 1533-position model. The record is from RNAcentral.
AUUGAACGCUGGCGGCAUGCCUUACACAUGCAAGUCGAACGGUAACAGGUCUUCGGAUGCUGACGAGUGGCGAACGGGUGAGUAAUACAUCGGAACGUGCCUAGUAGUGGGGGAUAACUACUCGAAAGAGUGGCUAAUACCGCAUGAGAUCUACGGAUGAAAGCAGGGGAUCGCAAGACCUUGUGCUACUAGAGCGGCCGAUGGCAGAUUAGGUAGUUGGUGGGAUAAAAGCUUACCAAGCCGACGAUCUGUAGCUGGUCUGAGAGGACGAUCAGCCACACUGGGACUGGGACACGGCCCAGACUCCUACGGGAGGCAGCAGUGGGGAAUUUUGGACAAUGGGCGAAAGCCUGAUCCAGCAAUGCCGCGUGCAGGAUGAAGGCCUUCGGGUUGUAAACUGCUUUUGUACGGGACGAAAAGCCCUGGGUUAAUACCCUGGGGUCAUGGCGGUACCGUAAGAAUAAGCACCGGCUAACUACGUGCCAGCCGCCGCCGUAA